GAUGAACGCUGGCGGCGUGCCUAAUACAUGCAAGUCGAGCGAACAGACGAGGAGCUUGCUCCUCUGACGUUAGCGGCGGACGGGUGAGUAACACGUGGAUAACCUACCUAUAAGACUGGGUUAACUUCGGGAAACCGGAGCUAAUACCGGAUAAUAUAUUGAACCGCAUGGUUCAAUAGUGAAAGACGGUUUUGCUGUCACUUAUAGAUGGAUCCGCGCCGCAUUAGCUAGUUGGUAAGGUAACGGCUUACCAAGGCAACGAUGCGUAGCCGACCUGAGAGGGUGAUCGGCCACACUGGGACUGAGACACGGUCCAGACUCCUACGGGAGGCAGCAGUAGGAAAUCUUCCGCAAUGGGCGAAAGCCUGACGGAGCAACGCCGCGGGAUUGAUGAAGUUCUUCGGAUCGUAAAACCCUGUUAUUAGGAAAGAACAAAUGUGUAAGUAACUAUGCCCGUCUUGACGGUACCUAAUCAGAAAGCCACGGCUAACUACGU
This 496-nucleotide ribosomal RNA is filed under the name uncultured bacterium. Its description in RNAcentral is "partial 16S ribosomal RNA". It matches the Rfam family "Bacterial small subunit ribosomal RNA", at positions 28 to 506 of the family's 1533-position model. The record is from RNAcentral.